GGGGAAUAUUGCGCAAUGGGGGCAACCCUGACGCAGCCAUGCCGCGUGAAUGAAGAAGGCCUUCGGGUUGUAAAGUUCUUUCGGUAGCGAGGAAGGCAUUUAGUUUAAUAGACUAGGUGAUUGACGUUAACUACAGAAGAAGCACCGGCUAACUCCGUGCCAGCAGCCGCGGUAAUACGGAGGGUGCGAGCGUUAAUCGGAAUAACUGGGCGUAAAGGGCACGCAGGCGGUGACUUAAGUGAGGUGUGAAAGCCCCGGGCUUAACCUGGGAAUUGCAUUUCAUACUGGGUCGCUAGAGUACUUUAGGGAGGGGUAGAAUUCCACGUGUAGCGGUGAAAUGCGUAGAGAUGUGGAGGAAUACCGAAGGCGAAGGCAGCCCCUUGGGAAUGUACUGACGCUCAUGUGCGAAAGCGUGGGGAGCAAACAGGAUUAGACACCCUGGUAGUCCACGCUGUAAACGAUGUCGAUUUGGGGGUUGAACUUUGAGUUUGGCGCCCGUAGCUAACGUGAUAAAUCGACCGCCUGGGGAGUACGGCCGCAAGGUUA
This 546-nucleotide ribosomal RNA is filed under the name uncultured bacterium. Its description in RNAcentral is "bacterial SSU rRNA". It matches the Rfam family "Bacterial small subunit ribosomal RNA", at positions 356 to 896 of the family's 1533-position model. The record is from RNAcentral.